This 442-nucleotide ribosomal RNA is filed under the name uncultured bacterium. RNAcentral describes it as "partial 16S ribosomal RNA". It matches the Rfam family "Bacterial small subunit ribosomal RNA", at positions 338 to 795 of the family's 1533-position model. The record is from RNAcentral.
CCUACGGGUGGCUGCAGUGGGGAAUAUUGGGCAAUGGGCGCAAGUCUGACCCAGCAACGCCGCGUGAAGGAAGAAGGCUUUCGGGUUGUAAACUUCUUUUAAGAGGGAAGAGCAGAAGACGGUACCCCUUGAAUAAGCCACGGCUAACUACGUGCCAGCAGCCGCGGUAAUACGUAGGUGGCAAGCGUUGUCCGGAUUUACUGGGUGUAAAGGGCGUGCAGCCGGGCAGACAAGUCAGAUGUGAAAUCCACGGGCUCAACCCGGGACCUGCAUUUGAAACUGUUGGCCUUGAGUGUCGGAGAGGUAAUCGGAAUUCCUUGUGUAGCGGUGAAAUGCGUAGAUAUAAGGAAGAACACCAGUGGCGAAGGCGGAUGACUGGACGGCAACUGACGGUGAGGCGCGAAAGCGUGGGGAGCAAACAGGAUUAGAUACCCUAGUAGUC